RNAcentral lists this ribosomal RNA (910 nucleotides) under Stereocaulon sasakii. RNAcentral's name for it is "LSU rRNA". It matches the Rfam family "Eukaryotic large subunit ribosomal RNA", at positions 34 to 961 of the family's 3401-position model. Lineage: Eukaryota; Fungi; Ascomycota; Lecanoromycetes; Lecanorales; Stereocaulaceae. The record is from RNAcentral.
UUAAGCAUAUCAAUAAGCGGAGGAAAAGAAACCAACAGGGAUUGCCUCAGUAACGGCGAGUGAAGCGGCAACAGCUCAAAUUUGAAAUCUGGUCCUUUCAGGCCCCGAGUUGUAAUUUGUAGAGGAUGUUUCGGGCGCGGCGCGGGUCUAAGUCCUUUGGAACAGGGCGUCGGAGAGGGUGAGAAUCCCGUAUGCGACCCGUGGCCAACCCCAUCUGAAAACCCCUUCGACGAGUCGAGUUGUUUGGGAAUGCAGCUCAAAAUGGGUGGUAAAUUUCAUCUAAAGCUAAAUACCGGCCAGAGACCGAUAGCGCACAAGUAGAGUGAUCGAAAGAUGAAAAGCACUUUGGAAAGAGAGUCAAACAGUACGUGAAAUUGUUGAAAGGGAAGCGCUUGCGACCAGACCUGCCCGCGGGCGAUCAACCGCCGUUCUCGGGGGUGCACUCGUCCGCGAUCAGGCCAGCAUCGGUUCGGGCGGUCGGAUAAAGGCCUUGGGAAUGUAGCUUCCUCCGGGGAGUCUUAUAGCCCUCGGUGCAAUGCGGCCAGCCUGGACCGAGGACCGCGCUUCGGCUAGGAUGCUGGCGUAAUGGUCGUAAGCGACCCGUCUUGAAACACGGACCAAGGAGUCUAACAUCUAUGCAAGUGUUUGGGUGUGAAACCCAUGCGCGGAAUGAAAGUGAACGGAGGUGAGAACCCUCAAGGGCGCAUCAUCGACCGAUCCAGAUGUCUUCGGAUGGAUUUGAGUACGAGCAUAGCUGUUGGGACCCGAAAGAUGGUGAACUAUGCCUGAAUAGGGUGAAGCCAGAGGAAACUCUGGUGGAGGCUCGCAGCGGUUCUGACGUGCAAAUCGAUCGUCAAAUUUGGGUAUAGGGGCGAAAGACUAAUCGAACCAUCUAGUAGCUGGUUCCUGC